UACGUAGGUGGCAAGCGUUAUCCGGAAUUAUUGGGCGUAAAGCGCGCGCAGGUGGUUUCUUAAGUCUGAUGUGAAAGCCCACGGCUCAACCGUGGAGGGUCAUUGGAAACUGGGAGACUUGAGUGCAGAAGAGGAAAGUGGAAUUCCAUGUGUAGCGGUGAAAUGCGUAGAGAUAUGGAGGAACACCAGUGGCGAAGGCGACUUUCUGGUCUGUAACUGACACUGAGGAGCGAAAGCAUGGGGAGCGAACAGGA
Molecule: ribosomal RNA, 254 nt
Filed under: uncultured bacterium
Lineage: Bacteria
Description: partial 16S ribosomal RNA
Rfam family: Bacterial small subunit ribosomal RNA
Source: RNAcentral